CACGCCGUAAACGUUGGGCGCUAGGUGUGGGACUCUUUUCACGAGUUCUGUGCCGCAGCUAACGCAUUAAGCGCCCCGCCUGGGGAGUACGGCCGCAAGGCUAAAACUCAAAGGAAUUGACGGGGGCCCGCACAAGCGGCGGAGCAUGUGGAUUAAUUCGAUGCAACGCGAAGAACCUUACCAAGGCUUGACAUAUACCGGAAACACGCAGAGAUGCGUGCCCCGCAAGGUCGGUAUACAGGUGG
This 245-nucleotide ribosomal RNA is filed under the name uncultured Nostocoides sp. Its description in RNAcentral is "uncultured Tetrasphaera sp. partial 16S ribosomal RNA". It matches the Rfam family "Bacterial small subunit ribosomal RNA", at positions 796 to 1041 of the family's 1533-position model. The record is from RNAcentral. Lineage: Bacteria; Bacillati; Actinomycetota; Actinomycetes; Micrococcales; Intrasporangiaceae.